AACGAACGCUGGCGGCAUGCCUAACACAUGCAAGUCGAACGAGACCUUCGGGUCUAGUGGCGCGCGGGUGCGUAACGCGUGGGAACCUGCCUUUAGGUUCGGAAUAACUCAGAGAAAUUUGAGCUAAUACCGGAUGAUGUCUUCGGACCAAAGAUUUAUCGCCUUUAGAUGGGCCCGCGUUGGAUUAGCUAGUUGGUGGGGUAAAGGCCUACCAAGGCGACGAUCCAUAGCUGGUCUGAGAGGAUGAUCAGCCACACUGGGACUGAGACACGGCCCAGACUCCGACGGGAGGCAGCAGUGGGGAAUAUUGGACAAUGGGCGAAAGCCUGAUCCAGCAAUGCCGCGUGAGUGAUGAAGGCCUUAGGGUUGUAAAGCUCUUUUACCCGAGAUGAGAAUGACAGUAUCGGGAGAAUAAGCUCCGGCUAACUCCGUG
Molecule: ribosomal RNA, 433 nt
Filed under: uncultured bacterium
Lineage: Bacteria
Description: partial 16S ribosomal RNA
Rfam family: Bacterial small subunit ribosomal RNA
Source: RNAcentral